GAUGAAGAACGCAGCGAAAUGCGAUAAGUAGUGUGAAUUGCAGAAUUCAGUGAAUCAUCGAAUCUUUGAACGCACAUUGCGCCCCUUGGUAUUCCAUGGGGCAUGCCUGUUCGAGCGUCAUUUGUACCUUCAAGCUUUGCUUGGUGUUGGGUGUUUGUCCUGAGGGACUCGCCUUAAAGUAAUUGGCAGCCAGUGUUUGGUUUUGAAGCGCAGCACAAGUCGCGAUUCAAAGCUAUACGCCCGCUUCCACAAGCCUUUUUCACUUUUGACCUCGGAUCAGGUAGGGAUACCCGCUGAACUUAAGCAUAUCAUAAGCGGAGGA
Molecule: unclassified non-coding RNA, 322 nt
Filed under: soil metagenome
Description: partial contains 5.8S ribosomal RNA, internal transcribed spacer 2, and large subunit ribosomal RNA
Rfam family: 5.8S ribosomal RNA (bases 1-120)
Source: RNAcentral